This 1372-nucleotide ribosomal RNA is filed under the name uncultured bacterium. RNAcentral describes it as "bacterial SSU rRNA". It matches the Rfam family "Bacterial small subunit ribosomal RNA", at positions 28 to 1381 of the family's 1533-position model. The record is from RNAcentral.
GAUGAACGCUGGCGGCGUGCCUAAUACAUGCAAGUCGAGCGAACGGACGAGAAGCUUGCUUCUCUGAUGUUAGCGGCGGACGGGUGAGUAACACGUGGAUAACCUACCUAUAAGACUGGGAUAACUUCGGGAAACCGGAGCUAAUACCGGAUAAUAUUUUGAACCGCAUGGUUCAAAAGUGAAAGACGGUCUUGCUGUCACUUAUAGAUGGAUCCGCGCUGCAUUAGCUAGUUGGUAAGGUAACGGCUUACCAAGGCAACGAUGCACAGCCGACCUGAGAGGGUGAUCGGCCACACUGGAACUGAGACACGGUCCAGACUCCUACGGGAGGCAGCAGUAGGGAAUCUUCCGCAAUGGGCGAAAGCCUGACGGAGCAACGCCGCGUGAGUGAUGAAGGUCUUCGGAUCGUAAAACUCUGUUAUUAGGGAAGAACAUAUGUGUAAGUAACUGUGCACAUCUUGACGGUACCUAAUCAGAAAGCCACGGCUAACUACGUGCCAGCAGCCGCGGUAAUACGUAGGUGGCAAGCGUUAUCCGGAAUUAUUGGGCGUAAAGCGCGCGUAGGCGGUUUUUUAAGUCUGAUGUGAAAGCCCACGGCUCAACCGUGGAGGGUCAUUGGAAACUGGAAAACUUGAGUGCAGAAGAGGAAAGUGGAAUUCCAUGUGUAGCGGUGAGAUGCGCAGAGAUAUGGAGGAACACCAGUGGCGAAGGCGACUUUCUGGUCUGUAACUGACGCUGAUGUGCGAAAGCGUGGGGAUCAAACAGGAUUAGAUACCCUGGUAGUCCACGCCGUAAACGAUGAGUGCUAAGUGUUAGGGGGUUUCCGCCCCUUAGUGCUGCAGCUAACGCAUUAAGCACUCCGCCUGGGGAGUACGACCGCAAGGUUGAAACUCAAAGGAAUUGACGGGGACCCGCACAAGCGGUGGAGCAUGUGGUUUAAUUCGAAGCAACGCGAAGAACCUUACCAAAUCUUGACAUCCUUUGACAACUCUAGAGAUAGAGCUUUCCCCUUCGGGGGACAAAGUGACAGGUGGUGCAUGGUUGUCGUCAGCUCGUGUCGUGAGAUGUUGGGUUAAGUCCCGCAACGAGCGCAACCCUUAAGCUUAGUUGCCAUCAUUAAGUUGGGCACUCUAAGUUGGCUGCCGGUGACAAACCGGAGGAAGGUGGGGAUGACGUCAAAUCAUCAUGCCCCUUAUGAUUUGGGCUACACACGUGCUACAAUGGACAAUACAAAGGGCAGCGAAACCGCGAGGUCAAGCAAAUCUCAUAAAGUUGUUCUCAGUUCGGAUUGUAGUCUGCAACUCGACUACAUGAAGCUGGAAUCGCUAGUAAUCGUAGAUCAGCAUGCUACGGUGAAUACGUUCCCGGGUCU